RNAcentral lists this ribosomal RNA (385 nucleotides) under uncultured bacterium. RNAcentral describes it as "bacterial SSU rRNA". It matches the Rfam family "Bacterial small subunit ribosomal RNA", at positions 30 to 417 of the family's 1533-position model. The record is from RNAcentral.
AUUGAACGCUGGCGGCAUGCCUUACACAUGCAAGUCGAACGGCAGCGGACCUUCGGGUGCCGGCGAGUGGCGAACGGGUGAGUAAUAUAUCGGAACGUACCUUUCAGUGGGGGAUAACGUAGCGAAAGUUACGCUAAUACCGCAUAUUCUGUGAGCAGGAAAGCUGGGGAUCGCAAGACCUUGCGCUGAUUGAGCGGCCGAUAUCAGAUUAGCUAGUUGGUGAGGUAAAGGCUCACCAAGGCGACGAUCUGUAGCGGGUCUGAGAGGAUGAUCCGCCACACUGGAACUGAGACACGGUCCAGACUCCUACGGGAGGCAGCAGUGGGGAAUUUUGGACAAUGGGCGCAAGCCUGAUCCAGCCAUGCCGCGUGAGUGAAGAAGGCCU